Molecule: small nuclear RNA, 106 nt
Organism: Pongo abelii (Sumatran orangutan)
Lineage: Eukaryota; Metazoa; Chordata; Mammalia; Primates; Hominidae
Source: Ensembl
GUGGUCACUUCGGCAGCAUAUAUACUAAAAUGGAAUGGUAGAGAGAAUAUUAGCAUGUCCCUUGCACAAAGAUGACAUGCAAACUCGUGAAGCAUUCCUUAUUUUU